This is a long non-coding RNA of Hipposideros armiger (great roundleaf bat), 1693 nucleotides long. RefSeq lists it as uncharacterized. The transcript has 2 exons. The record is from RefSeq and is a predicted model, not a curated record. Lineage: Eukaryota; Metazoa; Chordata; Mammalia; Chiroptera; Hipposideridae.
CUGCUCAUCAGCCGUCCUCACUCAGAGACCUGUGGGUAAUUAGGGCCGUGUUAAAUAUAGGAGAGCCAGCCCAGAGCAGUCCCAUCUGUGCCGGCGCCUUUGACCCUGAGGAAACACUGUGCCCUCAGCUAGCAAGUACUUUCAGGGCAGUAAAAGGGGGGUUUAGCUUUAAGCUGGAGGAUUGGGGUGUUGCUUAACUAAAGCUGAGAAUGCCGUGGCCUUUUAGCCCCACACAGGCUGUCAGAUACACAAUUCAGGGGUGAAAAACCACACCGGCCCCAGUGAAGCAUCCUGACACGUGCGGGCCCUGAUUAACCAAGCCACAGGUUUGCACCAGCCCAUUAAAGAAGACAACUCAGCUGAGGGGAUGGAGGGAAUGCAGUGUGUCUAAAUCGGUGUGGAGAAUAAAAUCAGACCCAUCGGCAGAGCCCACAGUGGGUCCCAGAGACAGCCGUCCCCAGCGCCUGUGGCCACUCAGCUCCAUGGUAAUUACCUCUUUGUGGAAUGUGUCCUCUGAGACCUGCUACUCAAAGUGUGGUCCUGAGGUCAGCAGCUUUGGCACUCCUGAAAGUGUGAAAUGCCGAGUCUCAGGCCUCUGGUGUACUGAAUCAGAACCUGCCUUUUUUUUCUUUUUUCAGUUACAUCUUUAAGAGCCUGUCCUUUAACAAGCAUUAAAGCUUGAGAAGUACCCCUCCAGGAGGCUCUCAGCCUUGCCUCUGGGAGGGCAGUGAAGAGAAUAGGCUUUCCAGAUGAGCUCAGCUGGUUUGAGAAGGCUGUGAGGUCACUGGACUAGCUGUUUGUUUGCUUGGGUUUCCUAAUGCCUGAUGAUCAGAAAAUUUCACAACUUCUCAGGCUCCCAGGAUGGUAUCUGGAUAAACUCAUCUGCUUUCCAGCCUGAAAGCCCUUGAUUGUCUGCAACUUGACCUCUAGGAAUUGCCCUGAGGUGUGUGCAUUGGAGGGUCUGGAAGGUUAGUCUCUGGGCCACAUCCUGAUGGUCCGUCAAGCCUGAUAGGGGAUGAGGAUUCUAGACUGGGAGGGCCUCUCCCCCGGGGUGACAGGAUAUUCUGCUGUGUUUGCGGUUACUGAUUGUUAUGGAGACGCAUUUUUCACGUAGGUCCAGCUCAGUGAUGGCACCCUCAAGGUGGCAAAGUGGCGUGGUGCCUUCCUGCAGCUGCUCGCCUUGUCUCCACGGAACCCACUUUUCAUUCAUGCCAAGUCUGCCCGGCCUGGCAAAAAUCUCUGCCUGAGAGCAAUCAACACUCUGUCUUCGGCAGAUCCACUGGAGUCAAUUUUGAGUGGGAGCUGGCCUCAGCAGAGGUCAACUGCCUCAGAGAGGAAAGGAAAUCGCUGACUUUCCAGGUGCUUUGGCAGGGAAUGCUGGCCAUGAAGGUCACUCUCAGGGUUUGAAGGCACUAAGACCCAGGGGGCAGGUACCCAGGCUGCUGCAGCUCAGCUGUUGGGAUAGGCCCAGUUUCUCCAUCUGAUAAGCCCGAUGGGCUGUCUGUUUUGAGUUCUUUCAAUUUUCCCAACUCAUGGGCUUCAGGCAAUGAAAACCACCCAUGUGAUGCUGUCCUCUCUCAACUGCAAAGUACCGAGGGGUGGCAGUCACAGCAUCACCCUGGAGCACAUCCAAAGGCAGUGCUACAUCACAGCACGCCACCUAAUGCUGCUGGUUUCAGCAGCAAAUGAGGCA